RNAcentral lists this long non-coding RNA (1975 nucleotides) under Heterocephalus glaber (naked mole-rat). Its description in RNAcentral is "lncRNA (ENSHGLG00000005652.2)". Lineage: Eukaryota; Metazoa; Chordata; Mammalia; Rodentia; Bathyergidae. The record is from RNAcentral.
UAUACUCUCAUAAAUUAACCAUGAUCACAGAUUAAAUAUUCUGGUUCAUACAACAAACGUGGAUAUGUUCUCACUCUUAAUUCUCUAAUAUUUUUCAAAUUACAGUAAACUUUUACCUUUUUUAAAAAAAAAUCUUUUUUAAAAAUUGUAUUGUGUGGGAAAUUUUUCUAAACAUUUUUAAACUUCUGUGCUUUUAGUGCCAAAGGAAAGUUCUUAUCACUUUAAGAUGCAAUGUGGUUUAGUGGAUGAAGCACUUGGAGUCAAAAAUUCUAGUUCUUGUCUCCACCACUUUUUCUUGUGUCUUUAAUAAUGAUACAAGAAUAUCAUUAAUAAUUACUUCAGAAUCACAAAAUAUUUGCUAAUGCAUUUUAAACUGCUUGGGGAAAAGUUGUGUUUUCCCAUCUUCUUGACCCUGGUACAUCCUUUCUCAAGCUAAGGGCCAUGGGCUUGUGUAUCAAACUUGCUAUGUCUGUAUCCCAUUUAUGCUCAGAAGAAGACAAUUUUGAAAUAGAAAUAAUCAUAGGCCAUUUAUGAAAAUGUAUUAUGCUGUAAAUAAUAUUUUGUGCAUUUUUAAUCCUCAAAAGGAUCUAUCCAAUGAAAAUACACUGAAGCUCCACUCUGUAUGUCUCAGUAGCAAAUCCUGUGUUAGUGUUUGUAAAAGUAGCUCAGUACUUUUUAAGUGUUAGUGGGUAAGCAUAAAUUACAUAUGCCAGGCAGUAAGGUUUAUUAAUAUCUAUAGACUUUGUGGGACAAAAUAUAGCUUUUCUUAUAAGCAAAAGCAACUAUAGACUAGAAUAGCACAUGGUGAAAUCUGUAAAUAUGUAUUACAAGCAGCAUUUCAGGAAAAUAGUUGGAAAGUAAUUUUUAAGUCAAAAAGGGAUACCAAAAUGUGAUUAUUAAACUGUUUUCUCAGCCUUUGAUUCUAAAUUAAACUGCAAUAGCAAUUCAAUGCUUGAAUGUAAGAAUGUUAGGUUAGUGAAAGUUUAGAGUUUAUUUUGUGCAGGUUACCCUAAUGGCAAUGCAGCUCUUCAAGUCAUUUCUGGUCAUUCAAGAUGUUCGCCCUUUAGCCCACAGAGAAUGCCCUACCUCACUGCUCCCUGACAUUAUUGUCUUAGCUGAGUCUUUACUAAGUCAUUGUUCAGUUCCAUUAUUUCUAAUGGUAUAUCAAAUACAAAGUUUUAAAUUUCCUUGGGUUUCUUUUUUUGCCAUAAUAAAAACUGAAAUACAUUUUUCUAGAUAGAUUGCAAACUAAUCGAGUGUUUAUGUCUUUAACCUAGAAAGGUACAAGUCUGAGGAUGCCCAGAAGGAAGCAACUGCCUAAAUAUGGCUUUCCUGGUGCGUGGCUCUCCCUGGCACCAUGAUGCCCGGAAGGCCAGCCCUGAAAGCACUGGUGGCCCGAGCCUCCUGACAAGGGUGCCUCAAGGCUUUCCAUGUGCCCCUCUCAGGGUGAGAGGAGCCAGACCCCUGGAGCAGGCUACUGAGUGACUGUUGAUGCCAAUCCUGUUUCCUGUUUCUCAGUAGACAGCCCGAUCUGGGGUCUAAAGCACACACACGUUGAUUUGCACCUCUGUUUAUGCAUGAGGGUUAAGUUAAUAAUCAUAAUAGCCUUUAUUUAAAAUUCAAAGGUAUAUUUAGGAUCCUCAAAGCAUUUUAGCUUUGCUUCUUAAAACCAAUUUAUGAAACAAGAAUUUAGCUAUGUUAUUAAAGGGCUGGGGAAGCCAGGUCAUAAUAGUAAAGGUUAUAUUAGAGAAAAACUGCAAUUAAAUAUGUUUUUAAUUUUUUUAAAAAAAUGGUGUUUAAGGUGACCUAAAAAUUAAUUUUCUAUGUAAAAUGUGUCUGCAUUUUUUUCAUCAAAAAUAAAGGUUGUUUGGAACAGAAAAAAAAUUUAACCAUUCUUUGGCUUUAUUUUAAAAUACAUAUAUUAAACAUAAACAAUGUAACACUGUCAUAAUAAAACUCUUUAGCAAUAAAUGCA